AGGUGAAGCGCGUGGGAAGAUAUGAAUUUCUGAUUACUUAAAUAUCAGCCUCUCCCAAGUAAGUUAAAUACUCACUAUUUAGAGGUUGACGGCGAUUUUUCUAACUUAAUUUUUUUAACUCUAUAUUUUCUCUCAGUGUCUUCUCACCAAUUGGCAUUGACGCGACAAAGCUUUCAAAUCCAACAAUCCCAAAAAGUUAAACAAAAAUUAAAAUAUUCCAUCCAAACACUCCCUUAAAAUACAAUCUCUUUACGCGUUAUCUUUUCUCCUAUUUCUUCUUCUUCUUCUUAAACCCUAGCUUUCUCUCUCCGCGUAUUUCACUCUCUCUGUAACAUCUAUGGAUGAUAAGGAUAAAGUUAACGAUCCAUUAAAAAGUGCAGCUGAGUUCGACGCUACUGAGUCGAGCUGGUCACUCGGUGCAGAUUCGGACAAUGUUUACAGCUUCUUCGGCAAUACUGAUAGAGAUAACAGUAUAUUAAACGAAUUCGGUUGGAAUUUUGCGCCGUCGGAGGCGGCCGGAGAUAAGGAUAUUGCCGGUGGUAGUGGCGGUGCUGGUGGAUUUGAUCGGAUCGACGAUGAUUUGGCGGGAAAUAGUAGUACUACUCCAUCUGCUUCUGCUACUGAAGUACCGGCGACGGGGAAAAUCACUGAUGAACCUGUAUCUUCCAGCUGUUCGGAUGAUCCUCCGGAGAAAUCCACCGCAUCCGGUGGCUCUUCCGCCUCCCGACCGCCGUCCGAUACAGCAAGCAAGGUUAAAAAGAAGGGUCAGAAACGAAUCAGGCAGCCCCGCUUUGCAUUUAUGACGAAAAGCGAAGUUGAUCAUCUUGAAGAUGGCUACAGAUGGAGGAAGUAUGGUCAAAAAGCUGUUAAAAAUAGUCCAUUUCCAAGGAGCUAUUAUCGUUGUACAAAUACCAAGUGCACGGUGAAGAAAAGAGUCGAGCGAUCUUCUGAAGAUCCAUCAAUUGUAAUCACCACAUAUGAAGGACAACAUUGUCACCAUACAGUUGGAUUUCCUAGAGGCGGACUUAUCAGUCAUGAAGCUGCAUUUACAACUCAUCAAUUAUCACCCUUAGCCUCGCAAUUCUACCUUCCCGGGGGUGUUCAAUACCCUCAAGAAGUACCUAUGAGCGCCCCAGAAUCGCGUCAAAUUCCAGGUGAAUCUGUAGAAGCUCGUAGAUUGCCAGAGACAAGUCAACCAGCCAACCAGCUGCCAACUGAUGAAGGAUUGCUUGGGGAUAUUGUACCUCCUGGAAUGCGAAGCAGAUAAUAUUAAGGGUAUAUAUAGCAUGGAUGCAUGUCAUUCUUGAAUUUAUAGCUGGAAUCUGCCCUCUAUAUAUUGUGAAGUUUACUAGCUGUUGUAUUUUUGCUGAUCAUGAUAGGAGUAUAUCAUGACUUAAUGGAGGAUCCUUGGAUAGCAGCCCAGAUAUUCAAGACUAGCUAUAAUUAAUGGUGGGAUUUGCUAGCAUAAGUGGGGAUUGUUUGUCUUUGAAGAAUCAACUUCAUGAUUUGUCCUUCCAUUGGACUAGGCGGGAUGCUAAUAAAACGGCUCAUUCACUUGAUCGGGUAGCUUUACGUAUGCAAUUCGUGUUAUUUAGGAUUAUCAUAUUUAACUUAUAUUCUUUAUUCUGAUGCUUCUCAUUUAAAUGUGUUUCCUAUAAAAAAAAACCUAAAAAGAAAAUAAUGUCACUUAAAUUGUGGAGUAUUUUUUUCGUUUUAGUACUCAACCUUUUGCAUGAGAGUAAUAGAUAUUGGUGUACGUAAGGGUAAAUCUUGGGCGGCAAGUUGUGUCAAUUGCGUGGAUUUCUAAGUUGCUCCAUUGUCAGCGGACAUUACCUUUUACCAUCUCCCUCUUUUUAACCUUAUU
This is an RNA transcript of Nicotiana attenuata, 1864 nucleotides long. It is a transcript of the gene named probable WRKY transcription factor 57, with no coding region annotated. The record is from RefSeq and is a predicted model, not a curated record. NCBI's taxonomy places the organism in Eukaryota, Viridiplantae, Streptophyta, Magnoliopsida, Solanales, Solanaceae. The transcript has 5 exons.